RNAcentral lists this ribosomal RNA (501 nucleotides) under uncultured bacterium. Its description in RNAcentral is "partial 16S ribosomal RNA". It matches the Rfam family "Bacterial small subunit ribosomal RNA", at positions 30 to 523 of the family's 1533-position model. The record is from RNAcentral.
AUUGAACGCUGGCGGCAGGCUUAACACAUGCAAGUCGAGCGGGGGGAGGUAGCUUGCUACCGGACCUAGCGGCGGACGGGUGAGUAAUGCUUAGGAAUCUGCCUAUUAGUGGGGGACAACAUCUCGAAAGGGAUGCUAAUACCGCAUACGUCCUACGGGAGAAAGCAGGGGAUCUUCGGACCUUGCGCUAAUAGAUGAGCAUAAGUCGGAUUAGCUAGUUGGUGGGGUAAAGGCCUACCAAGGCGACGAUCUGUAGCGGGUCUGAGAGGACGAUCCGCCACACUGGGACUGAGACACGGCCCAGACUCCUACGGGAGGCAGCAGUGGGGAAUAUUGGACAAUGGGGGGAACCCUGAUCCAGCCAUGCCGCGUGUGUGAAGAAGGCCUUAUGGUUGUAAAGCACUUUAAGCGAGGAGGAGGCUACUUUAGUUAAUACCUAGAGAUAGUGGACGUUACUCGCAGAAUAAGCACCGGCUAACUCUGUGCCAGCCGCCGCCGUAA